UACGUAGGGUGCAAGCGUUAAUCGGAAUUAUUGGGCGUAAAGGGUGCGCAGGCGGGAAUACAAGAUAGAUGUGAAAGCCUUAGGCUCAACCUGAGAAUGGCAUAUAUGACUGUAUACCUAGAGUGUAUCAGAGGGAGGUAGAAUUCCAUGUGUAGCAGUGAAAUGCGUAGAGAUGUGGAGGAAUACCGAUGGCGAAGGCAGCCUCCUGGGAUAACACUGACGCUCAUGCACGAAAGCGUGGGGAGCAAACAGG
RNAcentral lists this ribosomal RNA (253 nucleotides) under uncultured bacterium. RNAcentral describes it as "partial 16S ribosomal RNA". It matches the Rfam family "Bacterial small subunit ribosomal RNA", at positions 524 to 776 of the family's 1533-position model. The record is from RNAcentral.